GACGGGGCCGCACAAGCGGUGGAGUAUGUGGUUUAAUUCGAUGCAACGCGAAGACCUUACCUGGUCUUGACAUCCCGGAGACCCUUAGGAAACUAGGGGGUGCUUCCAUCUGGAAGAAUCUGGAGACAGGUGCUGCAUGGCUGUCGUCAGCUCGUGUCGUGAGAUGUUGGGUUAAGUCCCGCAACGAGCGCAACCCUUGCCUUUAGUUGCCAGCAGUUCGGCUGGGCACUCUAAAGGGACUGCCGGUGUUAAACCGGAGGAAGGUGGGGAUGACGUCAAGUCCUCAUGGCCUUUAUGACCAGGGCUACACACGUACUACAAUGGCCGAUACAAAGGGCAGCGACACUGCGAGGUGAAGCCAAUCCCGUAAAAUCGGUCUCAGUCCGGAUUGGAGUCUGCAACUCGACUCCAUGAAGUUGGAAUCGCUAGUAAUCGUGGAUCAGCAUGCCACGGUGAAUACGUUCCCGGGCCUU
This 473-nucleotide ribosomal RNA is filed under the name uncultured Desulfobulbus sp. RNAcentral describes it as "bacterial SSU rRNA". It matches the Rfam family "Bacterial small subunit ribosomal RNA", at positions 917 to 1381 of the family's 1533-position model. Lineage: Bacteria; Pseudomonadati; Thermodesulfobacteriota; Desulfobulbia; Desulfobulbales; Desulfobulbaceae. The record is from RNAcentral.